AUACAGAUCACCUGGGGAUCUUGUGAAAAGGCCGAUUUAAGCAGGUUUGAUGUGAGGCUUGAGAUUCUGCAUUUCUAGAGAGCUUACAGGUGAUUCUACU
Molecule: microRNA precursor, 100 nt
Filed under: Marmota monax (woodchuck)
Lineage: Eukaryota; Metazoa; Chordata; Mammalia; Rodentia; Sciuridae
Source: RNAcentral